RNAcentral lists this ribosomal RNA (303 nucleotides) under uncultured bacterium. RNAcentral describes it as "partial 16S ribosomal RNA". It matches the Rfam family "Bacterial small subunit ribosomal RNA", at positions 507 to 807 of the family's 1533-position model. The record is from RNAcentral.
AGCAGUAGCCGCGGUAAUACGUAGGGGGCGAGCGUUGUCCGAAGUUACUGGGCGUAAAGAGCGCGUAGGCUGGUCUUCAAGUGAGUGGUGAAAGGUUCGGGCUCAACCCGGACACUGCCUUUCAUACUGGGGACCUUGAGUGUGGGAGAGGCGAGUGGAAUGGUCGGUGUAGCGGUGAAAUGCGUAGAUAUCGAUCGGAACACCCAUGGCGAAGGCAGCUCGCUGGCCUAACACUGACGCUGAGGCGCGAAAGCGUGGGGAGCAAACAGGAUUAGAUACCCGCGUAGUCCCUGUCUCUUAUAC